UACGUAGGUGGCAAGCGUUGUCCGGAAUUAUUGGGCGUAAAGCGCGCGCAGGCGGCCUUUUAGGUCUGAUGUGAAAGCCCACGGCUCAACCGUGGAAGGUCAUUGGAAACUGAAAGGCUUGAGUACAGAAGAGGAAAGCGGAAUUCCACGUGUAGCGGUGGAAUGCGUAGAGAUGUGGAGGAACACCAGUGGCGAAGGCGGCUUUCUGGUCUGUAACUGACGCUGAGGCGCGAAAGCGUGGGGAGCAAACAGG
Molecule: ribosomal RNA, 253 nt
Filed under: uncultured bacterium
Lineage: Bacteria
Description: partial 16S ribosomal RNA
Rfam family: Bacterial small subunit ribosomal RNA
Source: RNAcentral